Molecule: non-coding RNA, 2284 nt
Organism: Camellia sinensis
Lineage: Eukaryota; Viridiplantae; Streptophyta; Magnoliopsida; Ericales; Theaceae
Source: RefSeq, a predicted model, not a curated record
AAAAAAAAAAAAAUCAAAAAUCCAACUUUUAACCAACCUCCCAAUUCAUCCAUUGUUUCGUUAUUUUCAGUUCUUAUCCAUCACAGUUUUUUGAUAGAUUCUACUCGACUCCGACUCUGGACUCUGGACUCUCGAUUCUCGACUCUUGACUCCGCGACUUCUUGCAACAAUGGUGGGUUGAUUGAUGAAAAUCACGUAGUCGUUUAACUCUCUCUAUCCCCAAUUCGAGUAGAAGAUUUUGAUAGAUUCACGAUCGGGAUUGCAUGUUUAGUUCAUAAUACACAUUUUGAAUGUACGCAUGACAGGGUGGGACUUGAAAAUUUCUCGAAUACGCUGCUUGCAAUUGGCUUUGGACUACUUGAAAUUUGAGGAGAUUGAGAAUUUAUAGAGAGAAUUGGUGCCCUUGAUUGCUUGAGCUAAUCAUGAUGUCAUUGUUUUAUAUGAAGUUGAAUUUAUCAACGGGCAAGGUCGUGUCAACAGAUGGAUUCAUCUUACGAAGAGGAUGCAAGGUUGUCACCAACAAAAUCGAAAAAAAGGAAAGGUAGAGGUUCAAUAACCCUACCAGGGAUCAUAAAGGAUGAAAGUUUUGGUGUGCAAAAAAUCAUUCACUAUAAUGAGUUGGGUCAACCAAUAGGGGACGUACAAUACCUGAGCUAUCGUGGAGUUUUGGCUCGAGCAAUGGUCCCAAUAGUCUAUAAAGAUUGGCAUAAGAUUCCAAAAGAAUUGAAAGAGAAAUUGUGGAGUUGUGCGGAGUCAGCAUACAAUGUGGAUCCAAGUAGAAAAAAGAAGACUUUGUCUUCAAUUGCAAAGAAAUGGAGGACAUUCAAAAAAUACCUUAGCAAGCACAUCCGUCAAUACAAGUCAAAUCCUAAGUUCCUUUCAAUACCCUCAGAAAUUUAUCCUUUUAUUGAACAAAGACAUUGGAAUUCAUUUAUGAGGGAUGAUAGACUGACAGAAAAUUUUGAGGUACAAAGUAAUAUUCAGAGAGCGAGGCAAAGCAGAAGUAUAUAUAACCAUAGGCUUGGUCGAAAGGGCUAUGCUCGGUUUCAAGAACAACUUAAACAAAAGACUGGAUCAAGUGAGAAUUUGGAUAGGAGCGUUCUAUGGAAGAAGGCUCAUCAAAAUAAAAGGAGAGUGUGAUGAUGUGAAAAUUAUGCAGCAAGUUGCAAAAAUUGAUGAGUUGACCAAACAAACAAUGGAUGGGAGUUUGUCCACCCAAGGAAGCACCGACAUCCUUACCAUGGCAUUGGGUAUGGUUGAACAUUCGGGGCGGAGCAAACCAUGCAAACUAGUGGUGGGCCCAUGGUACGAUGUAUGAAAGAACUGGACCUCAAGAAGUUAUUCACACGGUACCAUUGGGGAAAUUCAAUGUAUGAGUGUCUUUUGAUGUUGCUAUAGUUAAAGAUGCCCCUCUUCCCAUUCCUAUCCCGGAAGAGAUGACUAUUGUUGGAGAGGCAAUAGGAUGUCAGGUGGCUUGGCCCAAAAAAUUCAUAUUGGUCAACAAUGAGCUUUUGCUUCAUUGGUCGGCAAUGAGGUACAACUAUCUUUUCCAGUGGUGUUGUUACAUUUUCUUGCACUGAAAUUGACAUAUUUUUGCAUUGGGAAUUUUCUAAACUUAGGGAAAUUCAAAAAAUGUUGAUUUUGAAAAAAAAUUGGAGUCCAUAAGGACAUAUUUGGACAUAUUUGGGGAGGAGAUCAGUGUACAACUUCAAAGAAUGGAGUGUGUAUGUCAAAUGAAAGAGCUAUCCAUUACAUGCAUCAUGUUGUACAUAAGUGGUCUUCAGAUUUAUGGAAUAACUAAUGGGAUGAAUAGAAAGCCAAUUUGGCAAGUAGUUGAGUGCCCACAACAAUUGACAAGCGUGGAAUGUGGAUUUUAUGUAAUGAGGUACAUGAAAGACCUUAUUGGAGAUCAAAGCAUCCUAAGCAAAACAAAUUUUAAUGGGAAGAAGACUUGCAUGGAAUUUGAACUUGAUGAAGUGCUUGUGGAGUGGAUUAAUUUCGUCCUAGAUAACAUGUGAUUAUCUUCUAUAUGGUUCAAGGGGGAAUCUGGAGGGAAAUAUACAGAAAGAUGGAGGGAGAAAAAUGGUGGCGCUACUUGCAUAAUGACGUUGCCAAAUUAUAGUAGUCCAUAGGUUCCUUUAUUUUUCUUUGCUCAAUCAAAAUUUGUUUUGUCGUAGGAAUGACUCAUUUUUUGUUGAUAGAGCUUCUAUGGAUGUAGCAGCAGAUAUUUGAAAAUUGAAAUCAGUUUGUGUAAUUAAAGUUUAAUGCUUUGAUUUAUUAGGAA